RNAcentral lists this ribosomal RNA (464 nucleotides) under uncultured bacterium. RNAcentral describes it as "partial 16S ribosomal RNA". It matches the Rfam family "Bacterial small subunit ribosomal RNA", at positions 338 to 795 of the family's 1533-position model. The record is from RNAcentral.
CCUACGGGAGGCAGCAGUAGGGAAUUUUCGUCAAUGGGCGCAAGCCUGAACGAGCAAUGCCGCGUGAACGAGGAAGGUCUUCGGAUCGUAAAGUUCUGUUGAAGGGGAAAAAGAGCGGAGCGAGGAAAUGGUCUCCGAUUGAUAUUACCCUUCGAGGAAGUCACGGCUAACUACGUGCCAGCGACCGCGGUAAUACGUAGGUGGCGAGCGUUAUCCGGAAUGAUUGGGCGUAAAGGGUGCGUAGGCGGCCUGCUAAGUCUGGAGUGAAAGGUACCGGCUCAACCGGUACAGGCUCUGGAAACUGGCGGGCUAGAGAGCAGGAGAGGGCGGGGGAACUCCAUGUGUAGCGGUAAAAUGCGUAGAUAUAUGGAAGAACACCAGUGGCGAAGGCGGCCGCCUGGCCUGUUACUGACGCUGAGGCACGAAAGCGUGGGGAGCAAAUAGGAUUAGAUACCCGGGUAGUC